This 200-nucleotide unclassified non-coding RNA is filed under the name Hevea brasiliensis (rubber tree). The record is from RNAcentral. Lineage: Eukaryota; Viridiplantae; Streptophyta; Magnoliopsida; Malpighiales; Euphorbiaceae.
GGCGGUUUAUACAGGACUGGAAUCAAUAAAGAAAAGCGUGGCACCAUUAACUUUCCUUUUUCCCACUACUAUACAUGCACAACCAGAUCCUCAACGCAAGGGAAACUAGUUUUGCGUUGCGAGGAGAGACUUGAGGAAGAGCAUACAGCUUCCCCUCUCUCUCUUUGCAGACUGAGCUCCACAAUCAAACCUUGAAAAUC